RNAcentral lists this ribosomal RNA (375 nucleotides) under uncultured bacterium. RNAcentral's name for it is "bacterial SSU rRNA". It matches the Rfam family "Bacterial small subunit ribosomal RNA", at positions 523 to 898 of the family's 1533-position model. The record is from RNAcentral.
AUACGGGGGGUGCGAGCGUUAAUCGGAAUUACUGGGCGUAAAGCGUGCGUAGGCGGCGCAAUCAGUCAGCCGUGAAAGCCCCGGGCUUAACCUGGGAAUAGCGGUUGAGACGGUUGGGCUAGAGUGGGCUAGAGGAUCGUGGAACUCCCGGUGUAGCGGUGAAAUGCGUAGAGAUCGGGAAGAACACCGAUGGCGAAGGCAGCGGUCUGGGGCCACACUGACGCUGAGGCACGACGGCGUGGGGAGCAAACAGGAUUAGAUACCCUGGUAGUCCACGCAGUAAACGAUGAACACUAGACGCCGGGGGGGUGACUUUUCGGUGUCGUAGCUCACGCGCUAAGUGUUCCGCCUGGGGAGUACGGCCGCAAGGUUGAA